GCCUUCUCAGCUUAGUUGGUAGAGCACCCGCUUAGUAAGCGGGAGGUCGUCGGUUCAACUCCGGCAGAAAGCU
Non-coding RNA from Perkinsus marinus ATCC 50983, 73 nucleotides. Lineage: Eukaryota; Perkinsozoa; Perkinsida; Perkinsidae. The record is from Rfam.